UUUGAUCAUGGCUCAGGAUGAACGCUAGCGGCAGGCCUAAUACAUGCAAGUCGAGCGGCAAGUUGGGUAGUAAUACUUAACCUAGAGCGGCGCACGGGUGCGUAACGCGUAUGCAACCUACCUUUUACUGGGGGAUAGCCCGGAGAAAUCUGGAUUAAUACCCCAUGGCACCUAUGAAUCGCCUGAUUUAUAGUUUAAAGAUUUAUCGGUAAGAGAUGGGCAUGCGUCUGAUUAGCUAGUUGGCGGGGUAAGGGCCCACCAAGGCGACGAUCAGUAGGGGUUCUGAGAGGAAGGUCCCCCACACUGGCACUGAGAUACGGGCCAGACUCCUACGGGAGGCAGCAGUAGGGAAUAUUGGGCAAUGGUCGCAAGACUGACCCAGCCAUGCCGCGUGCAGGAAGACGGCCCUCUGGGUUGUAAACUGCUUUUAUCUGGGAAGAAAAAGUCCAUGCGUGGAAAAUUGCCGGUACCAGAUGAAUAAGCACCGGCUAACUCCGUGCCAGCAGCCGCGGUAAUACGGAGGGUGCAAGCGUUGUCCGGAUUUAUUGGGUUUAAAGGGUGCGUAGGCGGCUGAAUAAGUCAGCGGUGAAAGACUUCGGCUUAACCGGAGCAGUGCCGUUGAUACUGUUUAGCUUGAGUGUUGGAGGGGUACAUGGAAUUGAUGGUGUAGCGGUGAAAUGCAUAGAUACCAUCAGGAACACCGAUAGCGAAGGCAUUGUACUGGCCAACAACUGACGCUGAGGCACGAAAGUGUGGGGAUCGAACAGGAUUAGAUACCCUGGUAGUCCACACUGUAAACGAUGAUUACUCGCUGUUAUGGUGUAUGCUGUAGCGGCCAAGCGAAAGCGUUCAAGUAAUCCACCUGGGGAGUACGC
RNAcentral lists this ribosomal RNA (875 nucleotides) under uncultured Sphingobacteriia bacterium. RNAcentral describes it as "bacterial SSU rRNA". It matches the Rfam family "Bacterial small subunit ribosomal RNA", at positions 12 to 885 of the family's 1533-position model. Lineage: Bacteria; Pseudomonadati; Bacteroidota; Sphingobacteriia. The record is from RNAcentral.